UAGGGAAUCUUCCACAAUGGACGCAAGUCUGAUGGAGCAACGCCGCGUGAGUGAAGAAGGUUUUCGGAUCGUAAAGCUCUGUUGUUGGUGAAGAAGGAUAGAGGCAGUAACUGGUCUUUAUUUGACGGUAAUCAACCAGAAAGUCACGGCUAACUACGUGCCAGCAGCCGCGGUAAUACGUAGGUGGCAAGCGUUGUCCGGAUUUAUUGAGCGUAAAGCGAGCGCAGGCGGAAUGAUAAGUCGGAUGUGAAAGCACACGGCUCAACCGUGGAACUGCAUCGGAAACUGUCAUUCUUGAGUGCAGAAGAGGAGAGUGGAAUUCAAUGUGUAGCGGUGGAAUGCGUAGAUAUAUGGAAGAACACCAGUGGCGAAGGCGGCUCUCUGGUCUGCAACUGACGCUGAGGCUCGAAAGCAUGGGUAGCGAACAGG
Molecule: ribosomal RNA, 429 nt
Filed under: bacterium
Lineage: Bacteria
Description: partial 16S ribosomal RNA
Rfam family: Bacterial small subunit ribosomal RNA
Source: RNAcentral